UUGCUUCGGCAGGCUGUCCCAGGGCGGGACUGUGGCCGCAAGGCGCCUGCCGAAGGUAUCAAACUCUUCUCUUUAUAGCAGUCUCUGAGUACUACACAAAUAAGUUAAAACUUUCAACAACGGAUCUCUUGGCUCUAGCAUCGAUGAAGAACGCAGCGAAAUGCGAUAAGUAAUGCGAAUUGCAGAAUUCCGCGAGUCAUCGAAUCUUUGAACGCACAUUGCGCCUGCUAGUAUUCUGGCAGGCAUGCCUGUCCGAGCGUCAUUUCGACCCCCAGGCCUCAGUUGCCUGUUGUUGGGGCUCUCUGGCGGCGCUAGCCCCAGAGCCCUAAAAGACAGUGGCGGGCUCGCCAGGUCACCGAGCGUAGUAGAUUUCUUUCUCGCUUAGGGGACUCGGUGAGUGCUAGCCGUGAAAACCAAUUAUAUUACAAUGGUUUGACCUCGGAUCAGGUAGGAAUACCCGCUGAACUUAAGCAUAUCAAUAAGCGGAGGAAAAGAAACCAACAGGGAUUGCCCUAGUAACGGCGAGUGAAGCGGCAACAGCUCAAAUUUGAAAUCUGGCCUUGGCCCGAAUUGUAAUUUGUAGAGGAUGCUUUUGGUGCGGUGCCUUCUGAGUUCCCUGGAACGGGACGCCAUAGAGGGUGAGAGCCCCGUAUAGUCGGACACCUAGCCUCUGUAAAGCUCCUUCGACGAGUCGAGUAGUUUGGGAAUGCUGCUCAAAAUGGGAGGUAAAUCUCUUCUAAAGCUAAAUACCGGCUAGAGACCGAUAGCGCACAAGUAGAGUGAUCGAAAGAUGAAAAGCACUUUGAAAAGAGGGUUAAACAGCACGUGAAAUUGUUGAAAGGGAAGCGCUUGUGACCAGACUUGUGCCCGGUUAAUCAUCCAGCGUUCUCGCUGGUGCACUUUGCCGGGCUCAGGCCAGCAUCGGUUUUCGCGGGGGGAUAAAAGCUUCGGGAAUGUAGCUCCCUCGGGAGUGUUAUAGCCUGUUGUAUAAUACCCUCGCGGGGACCGAGGU
Molecule: ribosomal RNA, 1012 nt
Filed under: Sordariomycetes sp. genotype 700 JMUR-2016
Lineage: Eukaryota; Fungi; Ascomycota; Sordariomycetes
Description: eukaryotic LSU rRNA
Rfam family: Eukaryotic large subunit ribosomal RNA (bases 434-1012)
Source: RNAcentral